RNAcentral lists this ribosomal RNA (750 nucleotides) under uncultured bacterium. RNAcentral describes it as "bacterial SSU rRNA". It matches the Rfam family "Bacterial small subunit ribosomal RNA", at positions 45 to 776 of the family's 1533-position model. The record is from RNAcentral.
GGGAAACCAAACUGCAGGUCGAGGGGCAUCGGGGAGCGAAGCUUGCUUUGCUCCGCCGGCGACCGGCGCACGGGUCAGUAACGCGUAUGCAACCUGCCCGUUUCAGCGGGAUAACCCGGAGAAAUCCGGCCUAAUACCGCAUGUGGCCGAGGGGAGGCAUCUUCCUUCGGCCAAAGGAGGCGACUCCGGAGACGGAUGGGCAUGCGUGACAUUAGCUAGUUGGCGGGGUAACGGCCCACCAAGGCGACGAUGUCUAGGGGUUCUGAGAGGAAGGUCCCCCACACUGGUACUGAGACACGGACCAGACUCCUACGGGAGGCAGCAGUGAGGAAUAUUGGUCAAUGGGCGAGAGCCUGAACCAGCCAAGUUGCGUGAAGGAUGACGGCCCUACGGGUUGUAAACUUCUUUUGUCAGGGAGCAAUUGGGUCCACGUGUGGGCUUAGCGAGAGUACCUGAAGAAAAAGCAUCGGCUAACUCCGUGCCAGCAGCCGCGGUAAUACGGAGGAUGCGAGCGUUAUCCGGAUUUAUUGGGUUUAAAGGGUGCGUAGGCGGAAUAUUAAGUCAGCGGUAAAAAUUCGGGGCUCAACCCCGUCGUGCCGUUGAAACUGAUGUUCUUGAGUGGGCGAGAAGUAUGCGGAAUGCGUGGUGUAGCGGUGAAAUGCAUAGAUAUCACGCAGAACUCCGAUUGCGAAAGCAGCAUACCGGCGCCCCACCGACGCUGAAGCACGAAAGCGUGGGUAUUCGAACAGG